Molecule: ribosomal RNA, 805 nt
Filed under: Lichtheimia ramosa B5399
Lineage: Eukaryota; Fungi; Mucoromycota; Mucoromycetes; Mucorales; Lichtheimiaceae
Description: bacterial SSU rRNA
Rfam family: Bacterial small subunit ribosomal RNA
Source: RNAcentral
AGUAACUAUGAAACUAGAGUGUAAUGGAGGAAAGAGGAACUCCGAGAGUAGGGAUGGAAUCUGUUGAUCCUCGGAAGACCGCUUAAGGCGAAGGCUUCUUUCUAACUAAACACUGACGCUGAGGUACGAAAGUAUGGGGAGCAAAACGGAUUAGAGACCCGUGUAGUCCAUACCGUAAACGAUGAGUGCCUUAGAUUGGUUAUUAAUCAGUCUAUAAAUGUAGAUUAAAGCACUCCACCUGGGGAGUACUGCCGCAAGGUUGAAACCCAAAAGUAUAGAGGGUCUUGAAAACCAGCAGUGAAGCAUGUUGUUUAAUGUGAUGAUCCGCACAACAUCUUACCACUCCUUGAAUGCUACACAGGCGUUGCAUGGCUGUCUUCAGUUCGUGUCGUGAGAUGUAAGGUUAAGUCCGCAUAACGAACAAAACCCUUGCAACUAGUUAAUAUCUAGUUGAGCAUCCAGUGAUAAACUGGAAUAAUUAGGACUAAGACAAGCCCUCAUGGCCCUUAUGGAGUGGGCUACAGACGUGCAGCUAGGGGGAAUACAAAAGGAUCCAAUAAGGUAACUUGGAGGUAAUCCCCAAAUUUCCCCUUUGUGGAUUGAGCUCUGUAACUCGAGCUCAUGAAUUAGGAAUUGCUAGUAAUCGUGAAUCACCACGUCACGGUGAAAUUAAAGCUUCAAGAUCUACUAACUGCCUGUCACGGGCUGGGAGUAAGCUAUACCUGAAGUUGUCUAAAGACAUCCAAGGAUAGUAAACGACUGGUCUGAAGUCAUAACAAGGUAGCCGUUCGGGAACGAGUGGCUG